GCGUGCCUAAUACAUGCAAGUCGAACGAACUUCCGUUAAUUGAUUAUGACGUGCUUGCACUGAAUGAGAUUUUAACACGAAGUGAGUGGCGGACGGGUGAGUAACACGUGGGUAACCUGCCCAGAAGCAGGGGAUAACACCUGGAAACAGAUGCUAAUACCGUAUAACAGAGAAAACCGCCUGGUUUUCUUUUAAAAGAUGGCUCUGCUAUCACUUCUGGAUGGACCCGCGGCGCAUUAGCUAGUUGGUGAGGUAACGGCUCACCAAGGCGAUGAUGCGUAGCCGACCUGAGAGGGUAAUCGGCCACAUUGGGACUGAGACACGGCCCAGACUCCUACGGGAGGCAGCAGUAGGGAAUCUUCCACAAUGGACGCAAGUCUGAUGGAGCAACGCCGCGUGAGUGAAGAAGGGUUUCGGCUCG
Molecule: ribosomal RNA, 421 nt
Filed under: Pediococcus acidilactici
Lineage: Bacteria; Bacillati; Bacillota; Bacilli; Lactobacillales; Lactobacillaceae
Description: bacterial SSU rRNA
Rfam family: Bacterial small subunit ribosomal RNA
Source: RNAcentral